CCUUCGAUAACUCAGUUGGUAGAGUGGAGGACUGUAGCGGAGUAGCAGACAUCCUUAGGUCGCUGGUUCAAAUCCGGCUCGAAGGA
Molecule: transfer RNA, 86 nt
Filed under: Takifugu rubripes (torafugu)
Lineage: Eukaryota; Metazoa; Chordata; Actinopteri; Tetraodontiformes; Tetraodontidae
Rfam family: tRNA
About the family: Transfer RNA (tRNA) molecules are approximately 80 nucleotides in length. Their secondary structure includes four short double-helical elements and three loops (D, anti-codon, and T loops). Further hydrogen bonds mediate the characteristic L-shaped molecular structure. tRNAs have two regions of fundamental functional importance: the anti-codon, which is responsible for specific mRNA codon recognition, and the 3' end, to which the tRNAs corresponding amino acid is attached (by aminoacyl-tRNA synthetases). tRNAs cope with the degeneracy of the genetic code in two manners: having more than one tRNA (with a specific anti-codon) for a particular amino acid; and 'wobble' base-pairing, i.e. permitting non-standard base-pairing at the 3rd anti-codon position.
Source: Rfam by way of RNAcentral